UAGUCUGCAACUCGACUACAUGAAGCUGGAAUCGCUAGUAAUCGCGAAUCAGAAUGUCGCGGUGAAUACGUUCCCGGGUCUUGUACACACCGCCCGUCACACCAUGGGAGUCGGAUAUGCCCGAAGUCAGUGACCCAACCAUAUGGAGGGAGCUGCCGAAGGUGGAGCCGAUAACUGGGGUGAAGUCGUAACAAGGUAGC
This 200-nucleotide ribosomal RNA is filed under the name uncultured bacterium. RNAcentral describes it as "partial 16S ribosomal RNA". It matches the Rfam family "Bacterial small subunit ribosomal RNA", at positions 1301 to 1500 of the family's 1533-position model. The record is from RNAcentral.